This 456-nucleotide ribosomal RNA is filed under the name Salmonella enterica subsp. enterica serovar Newport. RNAcentral's name for it is "partial 23S ribosomal RNA". It matches the Rfam family "Bacterial large subunit ribosomal RNA", at positions 161 to 655 of the family's 2925-position model. The record is from RNAcentral. Lineage: Bacteria; Pseudomonadati; Pseudomonadota; Gammaproteobacteria; Enterobacterales; Enterobacteriaceae.
AAUCCAUAGGUUAAUGAGGCGAACCGGGGGAACUGAAACAUCUAAGUACCCCGAGGAAAAGAAAUCAACCGAGAUUCCCCCAGUAGCGGCGAGCGAACGGGGAGGAGCCCAGAGCCUGAAUCAGCAUGUGUGUUAGUGGAAGCGUCUGGAAAGGCGCGCGAUACAGGGUGACAGCCCCGUACACAAAAGCGCAUGUGCUGUGAGCUCGAUGAGUAGGGCGGGACACGUGGUAUCCUGUCUGAAUAUGGGGGGACCAUCCUCCAAGGCUAAAUACUCCUGACUGACCGAUAGUGAACCAGUACCGUGAGGGAAAGGCGAAAAGAACCCCGGCGAGGGGAGUGAAAAAGAACCUGAAACCGUGUACGUACAAGCAGUGGGAGCACCCUUUGGGGUGUGACUGCGUACCUUUUGUAUAAUGGGUCAGCGACUUAUAUUUUGUAGCAAGGUUAACCGUAU